Theobroma umbraticum is the source of this 1607-nucleotide RNA transcript. It is a transcript of the gene named cis-prenyltransferase 4, chloroplastic-like, with no coding region annotated. The record is from RefSeq and is a predicted model, not a curated record. NCBI's taxonomy places the organism in Eukaryota, Viridiplantae, Streptophyta, Magnoliopsida, Malvales, Malvaceae.
CGUCGUCACUGUUCAGGAAAAAGGGAAAAACCCUAGCAAUGCACUUCUCUCUGCAAUGCUCUCUCCCUCCGGUCAUCACCGCACUCUGUCCUCAGUCAAAAUCCUUCUCGCACGAGCCACGCCACCACAGGAUCAAGAAGCCGAUCUCGCACGUGCCGAAAUCCCCACUCUGCUCCACCACUGAGCGCGCACUGAUCCACCAGUGCAUUGAAGAAGAAGAAGAAGCCUUUGAUGGGAGAGUCGAAGACCAAACGCUGCCGUUGGGACUACGGCGAGAGGCAUUGCCGAGACACGUGGCGGUGAUCAUGGAUGGAAACCGGAGGUGGGCCCGGUUGAGAGACUUGCCCGUGGGGUCCGGUUAUGAGGCCGGUGUACGGUCCUUGAGAAAGAUUGUGGAGCUCUGUUGCGAAUGGGGAAUAAAAGUUCUCAGUGUUUUUGCUUUCUCUAGUGAUAAUUGGUUUCGUCCCAAAGUGGAAGUGGAAUUUUUGAUGAGUUUGUUUGAGAGGGGAAUACAGGAGGAUACGGGAAUUUUCCUGAGGGAAAACAUCCGAAUAUCUGUUAUUGGAGAUUUAGCUAGGCUCCCUAAGGCUUUUCAGGAAUUGAUAAUCAACUUGGAGGAAGCCACUAAGAACAACGCACGUUUUCAACUAAUUGUAGCUGUCAGUUAUAGUGGACACUAUGAUGUUGUUCAAGCUUGCCAAAGGCUUGCUCUGAAGGCGAAGUGUGGUCUUAUUGAACCCAGUGACAUCAAUGAGUCUUUAAUUGAACAGGAACUAGAAACAAAAUGCACUGAAUUCCCCUAUCCUGACCUACUUAUACGGACCAGCGGUGAGUUUAGAGUUAGCAAUUUCAUGUUAUGGCAGUUGGCAUAUGCAGAACUAUUCUUUGCACAAUCACUGUGGCCUGAUUUUGGAGAAGCUGAGUUUUUAAAGGCAUUGCUAGCCUUUCAGAAAAGGCAGAGACGUUAUGGUGGAUGAAGUGUUUGAGCAUACUUAGUUGAGAUUUUGUUAUUGCACAUAUGGAAUGGACAGGGAUUUGUGGUGGCAUAUGUGAAGGGCAUAAUGAGAAGCUUCAUAUGGCCUCUGGAGUAUACCAAUCAACUUGCUCAGAGCAUAUAUUUGAAGUGAAUUCUGGCAUCAUAAAGGAUACACAUCCCAUUCAAGUUGGAUGUUGAAUACGCUGCAACAGGACUGUGUGGAAUCAGGUACUGACACUGCUAGCAGCCUCUUGGAUCUUGCAGUUGCGUGUUGAACUUUGAUGAGGAGAGCAGGAUCUAGUAGCUCUGCCAACAGCUGUUUGCACAGUAUUUGUUCUAAGCAUAUGGAUGUUGGUGAAAGCAGAAAGCAACACAUGGGUCUGCUUUCACUUUUAACGACACCUUAAACAGGUUUUAGUCCUUUUGUAUAUCUAAAUGAAAAAGAGUAUUCUUGUUUUCUUAUUUUUUUUAAUUUUUUUAUUUCAUUUUUGCUUCAUUUUUAUUAAUUUUUCAAUUUGAAAUUAAGAAGGAAAAUCUAUAAGGUAUCCAUUAAUUAUGAGAUAAUCGUACCCGAAUCUGAUUAAUAUUCAAUAAUAUCAAAAUAGUUUAUUUCAAUAAAAAAUGAUGAGAA